Molecule: small nuclear RNA, 107 nt
Organism: Prolemur simus (greater bamboo lemur)
Lineage: Eukaryota; Metazoa; Chordata; Mammalia; Primates; Lemuridae
Source: Ensembl
GUGCUGGCUUUGGCAGCAUAUAUACUAAAAUUGGAACUGUAUAGAAAACACUAGCAUGGCCUCUGGGCAAGGAUGACAUGCAAAUUCGUGAAGAAUGUAAGGAUAUA